Microcebus murinus (gray mouse lemur) is the source of this 1247-nucleotide non-coding RNA. NCBI's taxonomy places the organism in Eukaryota, Metazoa, Chordata, Mammalia, Primates, Cheirogaleidae. The record is from RefSeq and is a predicted model, not a curated record.
UUAAACUGACGAAGCCCCAUCACCCGGCCCAGGAUCUCAGCGAGUCAAGACUAUUCCGUCCCCCUGGGUUGGUCAGGACUGGAGAGUGGUCUGCUGUGGUCACCCAGGGGGGCAGUUGGUGGAAUAUUCAUGGUCAGGGAAGUGACCAAUGUCCAGCAGGGUCAGGCCCCUGGGGACAAAGUGUGCACCUGACCCGGAAUCUGGAGAGGGACAGAAACCUGGCUGCUCGUGGGCCAGCAGAGGAGCUUCCAUGGAUGGGAACAGUCACCAUCAGCCUGGGGAGAAGUGACUCAUACAACAGGGCAGGCCACGUCCCAGGGCUGGGCCCCCUCCCUGUCACCCCAGGCCAGGCCUCCUUCAGAGCAGACUGGGGACAGGCUGGGCUGGGAAGAGGAAGGAGGAGGAGUUCUGAGCACGGGGAUUAGGGCUGAUCCUGGGAUCGGGGCUGUGAGGUGGGGAGGAGCUCCUGUCCCCUGGGGAGUGAGAAGUCACCCACUCAUGGCUGAUGCUGGAGAUCAUGGUCUGAGCCUUGACUCUGGUUUCCUUCUGGUGGCCAGGUGAAGGUGCCAUGGGGGCCCUGGCCUGUCUGGGAGGACCCUCUGUGCUGAGCUCAAGUUCAGCUGAAAGUGCCCUCACCCUGCUAUGACCCAGAGGGACCCUGGGAGAGUGACUGCAGGGCCGAGAACUCACCUGGGCACCUCCCAGUUCUGACUUGGGACUACAAGGCCACCCUGUGCACAUGACACCACCUCUCUGUGCCUCUGUUUGGAGAAAGACAGGAAAUACAGAAAACGCCAUCACUGGUAUCCUCUAUUUCAAAUGGAAGAAAAACCGACACAACUGGGAUUCAAAACACCCAACACCAGGAACUCCAGUGAUCAAGAAAAGCAGAGGCUGAGAUUCAAGAAUAAGAGCACUCACGGGCUAUAGGGCCCGGUGUUCACAAAGGUCCCUGCGCAGGCUGGUUGCCCGGCGUCCUGGAAGGGCUCAUGCAUCUGUUAAUGGAUCGUGACAGCAGUGGUCAGUCUGUCCUGCAGUCUUGGCAGCGGCUCAGCAGCCUGGUGUAGACAGGGGGGAGCACCGCUCCCUCAUCCAGAGGUGACGUUUUGCAGCAAGAUAGAUGUACCUAGAAGGAGUUCUCAAAUGUGUCAGUCCGCAAGGGCCCCGGAUGUAUUAUGGCCACCAAGAGAUUCCCUCCUAGAGAACAGGAGCUGACGCGAGAGCAAAGAAUAAAUACGGAGACAUGA